AGAGUUUGAUUAUGGCUCAGGAUGAACGCUAGCGAUAGGCUUAACACAUGCAAGUCGAGGGGCAGCACGGUGUAGUAAUACACUGGUGGCGACCGGCGUACGGGUGCGUAACACGUAUGCAACCUACCCGCUAGUGGGGGAUAACCCGGCGAAAGUCGGACUAAUACCCCAUAUUAUUCUUACCGGGCAUCCGGUAGGUCUGAAAGAUUUAUCGAUUGCGGAUGGGCAUGCGGAUGAUUAGCUAGUAGGUGGGGUAACGGCUCACCUAGGCGACGAUCAUUAGGGGUUCUGAGAGGAAGGUCCCCCCACACUGGAACUGAGACACGGUCCAGACUCCUACGGGAGGCAGCAGUGAGGAAUAUUGGUCAAUGGGCGCUAGCCUGAACCAGCCAAGUCGCGUGAAGGAUGACAAGAUCUAUGGUUUGUAAACUUCUUUUGCAGGGGAGUAAAGUGCGACACGUGUGUUGUAUUGCAAGUACCCUGCGAAUAAGCAUCGGCUAACUCCGUGCCAGCAGCCGC
This 519-nucleotide ribosomal RNA is filed under the name uncultured bacterium. RNAcentral's name for it is "bacterial SSU rRNA". It matches the Rfam family "Bacterial small subunit ribosomal RNA", at positions 8 to 518 of the family's 1533-position model. The record is from RNAcentral.